AGUGAACGCUGGCGGUAGGCCUAACACAUGCAAGUCGAACGGCAGCACAGUAAGAGCUUGCUCUUACGGGUGGCGAGUGGCGGACGGGUGAGGAAUACAUCGGAAUCUACUUUUUCGUGGGGGAUAACGUAGGGAAACUUACGCUAAUACCGCAUACGACCUACGGGUGAAAGCAGGGGAUCUUCGGACCUUGCGCGAUUGAAUGAGCCGAUGUCGGAUUAGCUAGUUGGCGGGGUAAAGGCCCACCAAGGCGACGAUCCGUAGCUGGUCUGAGAGGAUGAUCAGCCACACUGGAACUGAGACACGGUCCAGACUCCUACGGGAGGCAGCAGUGGGGAAUAUUGGACAAUGGGCGCAAGCCUGAUCCAGCCAUACCGCGUGGGUGAAGAAGGCCUUCGGGUUGUAAAGCCCUUUUGUUGGGAAAGAAAAGCAGCAGGUUAAUACCCCGCUGUUCUGACGGUACCCAAAGAAUAAGCGCCGGCCAACUUCGUG
Molecule: ribosomal RNA, 492 nt
Filed under: uncultured bacterium
Lineage: Bacteria
Description: partial 16S ribosomal RNA
Rfam family: Bacterial small subunit ribosomal RNA
Source: RNAcentral